This 511-nucleotide ribosomal RNA is filed under the name Enterococcus faecium. RNAcentral's name for it is "bacterial SSU rRNA". It matches the Rfam family "Bacterial small subunit ribosomal RNA", at positions 21 to 503 of the family's 1533-position model. Lineage: Bacteria; Bacillati; Bacillota; Bacilli; Lactobacillales; Enterococcaceae. The record is from RNAcentral.
UGCUCAGGACGAACGCUGGCGGCGUGCCUAAUACAUGCAAGUCGAACGCUUCUUUUUCCACCGGAGCUUGCUCCACCGGAAAAAGAGGAGUGGCGAACGGGUGAGUAACACGUGGGUAACCUGCCCAUCAGAAGGGGAUAACACUUGGAAACAGGUGCUAAUACCGUAUAACAAUCGAAACCGCAUGGUUUUGAUUUGAAAGGCGCUUUCGGGUGUCGCUGAUGGAUGGACCCGCGGUGCAUUAGCUAGUUGGUGAGGUAACGGCUCACCAAGGCCACGAUGCAUAGCCGACCUGAGAGGGUGAUCGGCCACAUUGGGACUGAGACACGGCCCAAACUCCUACGGGAGGCAGCAGUAGGGAAUCUUCGGCAAUGGACGAAAGUCUGACCGAGCAACGCCGCGUGAGUGAAGAAGGUUUUCGGAUCGUAAAACUCUGUUGUUAGAGAAGAACAAGGAUGAGAGUAACUGUUCAUCCCUUGACGGUAUCUAACCAGAAAGCCACGGCUAACUC